This 349-nucleotide ribosomal RNA is filed under the name uncultured bacterium. Its description in RNAcentral is "bacterial SSU rRNA". It matches the Rfam family "Bacterial small subunit ribosomal RNA", at positions 917 to 1269 of the family's 1533-position model. The record is from RNAcentral.
GGGCCCGCACAAGCGGUGGAGCAUGUGGUUUAAUUCGAUGAUACGCGAGGAACCUUACCAGGGCUUAAAUGUAAGUUGCAUAAGUUAGAGAUAGCUUUUUCUUCGGACUACUUACAAGGUGCUGCAUGGUUGUCGUCAGCUCGUGCCGUGAGGUGUCAGGUUAAGUCCUAUAACGAGCGCAACCCCUGUUGUUAGUUGCCAUCGAGUAAUGUCGGGAACUCUAACAAGACUGCCGGUGCAAACCGUGAGGAAGGUGGGGAUGACGUCAAAUCAUCACGGCCCUUACGUCCUGGCUACACACGUGCUACAAUGGCCGGUACAGAGAGCAGCCACUACGCGAGUAGGAGCG